CAGCAGCCGCCGCGGGAAUACAGAGGGUGCGAGCGUUAAUCGGAUUUACUGGGCGUAAAGCGUGCGUAGGCGGCUUCUUAAGUCGGAUGUGAAAUCCCUGAGCUUAACUUAGGAAUUGCAUUCGAUACUGGGAAGCUAGAGUAUGGGAGAGGAUGGUAGAAUUCCAGGAGUAGCGGUGAAAUGCGUAGAGAUCUGGAGGAAUACCGAUGGCGAAGGCAGCCAUCUGGCCUAAUACUGACGCUGAGGUACGAAAGCAUGGGGAGCAAACAGGAUUAGAUACCCCAGUAGUCCCUGUCUCUUAUAC
This 304-nucleotide ribosomal RNA is filed under the name uncultured bacterium. Its description in RNAcentral is "partial 16S ribosomal RNA". It matches the Rfam family "Bacterial small subunit ribosomal RNA", at positions 506 to 807 of the family's 1533-position model. The record is from RNAcentral.